Molecule: ribosomal RNA, 85 nt
Filed under: Plagiosiphon emarginatus
Lineage: Eukaryota; Viridiplantae; Streptophyta; Magnoliopsida; Fabales; Fabaceae
Description: partial 26S ribosomal RNA
Rfam family: Eukaryotic large subunit ribosomal RNA
Source: RNAcentral
GAUGCGACCUCAGCUCAGGCGGGGCUACCCGCUGAGUUUAAGCAUAUCAAUAAGCGGAGGARAAGAGACUAWCAAGGAUUCCCCU